GGAAGGUUGGCGUAGUGGCCGCGCACCGGACUUUUAAUCCGGGUCAGGACGAGUUCGAAUCUCUCACCUUCCACCA
RNAcentral lists this transfer RNA (76 nucleotides) under Chloroflexota bacterium. RNAcentral's name for it is "tRNA-Lys". It matches the Rfam family "tRNA". Rfam says of the family: Transfer RNA (tRNA) molecules are approximately 80 nucleotides in length. Their secondary structure includes four short double-helical elements and three loops (D, anti-codon, and T loops). The record is from RNAcentral. Lineage: Bacteria; Bacillati; Chloroflexota.